This 808-nucleotide long non-coding RNA is filed under the name Triticum aestivum (bread wheat). Its description in RNAcentral is "long non-coding RNA (TAES_LNC020853)". The record is from RNAcentral. Lineage: Eukaryota; Viridiplantae; Streptophyta; Magnoliopsida; Poales; Poaceae.
AGGCUGAAGAGCUGCUGCAUGUUACUCGUUGGAUUUUCUUAGAUGUUGCGUCCAUGUCAUGUUUGCAGACAUACUGAACACCAUUUUCUGUAAACGGUUCGAGUCCUAGGUUGAACUGAGAAUGUUUUGCCUGUUUUGGUUGUGAUCUAAAGCUAUCCAGAUUCUAUUAUGUGUUCUACCUUGCAGUAUUUUCAUCUGUUCAGUGAAGUUUUGAUCUUGAGUCUCCAUGUUGAUUUGCUGCCAGCUUUGCCUUUCAGGCAUGUUAGAUUUGUAUGGUUCCUGCAGUUGCAAAGGACCCAUCCAGUGUGAAAACCCGAUCAUGUAUGCAAAGCAAUUUUGAUCAUGGAAUCUGCACAAUUGUUGGCUAUUUUUCUUUCUGGAGAUAGACGAUGACUAGCCGCUACCCCAGCCUGUGCUAAUUCUCGGUAGUGUAGGCGCUUUGCGCGGCUCUCCAUGCCUUUGUAUUCGGUGGUUUUCAUUUUCUGUUACAGGAUUUCUCGCUGCCUCUGGAGUCUGUCAAAAGUGUUACACCUAUUAAAUCCUGUUGUCAGAGCUUUGGUUGUUCAUGUGUCAAGCCUUGUGUGCCCAUUCUUUUUGAAGGUGGUUGAGAGAAACACUUGAGAAGAACUAUCACUGAAGGAAGAUAGCUAUGGAGGGGAGAUCUAGAGAGGUAGUCUUCUCCAAAUUAUUAGAGAUGGAAGUCUUGAAUCCUUGAUGGAUCUUCUCCAAAGGAGGCCAUUUCCAAUUAAGUUAUCGAUGAGCAAAGCCAAGUAAUUCUAUUAUGCUUUCAUAACACAAAAAAAAAAGA